Molecule: long non-coding RNA, 277 nt
Organism: Sarcophilus harrisii (Tasmanian devil)
Lineage: Eukaryota; Metazoa; Chordata; Mammalia; Dasyuromorphia; Dasyuridae
Exons: 2
Source: RefSeq, a predicted model, not a curated record
UUAAGCAGUAAAGUUUAGAGAUUUUUUUUUGAUUAGAUUUAACUCAUUAAAGUUCUGUUUUUCCAGUAGGUGUAUUACUUCUGGAUUUUUUGGAAUUCAUUAUUGGAUCAAGAAUCUUAUCAUGCUGAAAGAAUGAAUCAGGCUCCUCCUGUCUGCUGGGAAACAAAGGACACAAGGGCAACGACAGGUGGGCAUAGAAAAGAAAAACACAUGGCCUCUAUCCUGGUUAACACUUGUCUGCAGGGCACCUGCACUUUCUCACCAAAAGGUACCUUUU